ACAGAGCAUGAACGGGGGAGGGGCAGAGAGAGAGGGAGACACAGAGUCGGAAACAGGCUCCAGGCUCCGAGCCAUCAGCCCAGAGCCUGACGCGGGGCUCGAACUCACGGACUGCGAGAUCGUGACCUGGCUGAAGUCGGACGCUUAACCGACUGCGCCACCCAGGCGCCCCUUAUUUAUUUAUUUUUGAGAGAGAGAGAGAGAGAGAGAGAGAGAGAGAGAGAGCGAGCAUGCACAAGCUGGGGAAGGGCAGAGAGAGAGACAGACAGACACACAGACAGAAUUGGAAGCAGGCUCCAGGCUCUGAGUAGUCAGCACAGAGCCCUACACGGGGCUCAAACCCACAAACCGUGAGAUCAUGACGUGAACCAAAGCCGGAUGCUUAGCUGACUGAGCCACCCAGGCACCCCAGAAAGGAGUUGCAAUUUUAAAUAGAGCGGUCAGAGUGGGUCUCACUGAGACCUUGCAUUUGAGUCUGACAUGCAGCUCUCUGGGGCAGAGUGAAUGUUCCAGGCAGAGGGAGCAGCCAGUGCAAGAAUCCUGAGGCAGGAGCACGUGAGGACCUAUGAGGAGUAGUCAGGAGUCCACUGUGGCCGGAACAGGGUGAGUGGGAGGCACAAAGGAAGGACAGAGAGGUCGGCCCUGCCCCAGUUGGAACUUGUAAGGAUUUUCAUUUUCACUCUGUGGGACUUUUGAACAGAGAAGCACAUGAUCUGAGUUGUGUUGUAAAAGAUUCUCUGUCGGUGCUGAGUUCAGACUGGACUCAGGAGGGGGAGGGCGGCUGUGGAGAGACCGGGCAGAGAGGCCACUCACUGCAGGAAUGCAGAUAAUCCAGGACUGUCCUGUCUGCAAAGUCUCCUUUGUCAUGAACACUGGGAUUCCCAGGUUCCAGGUCUUGUCCCUGGCAUUCACUUUACCCUUGUGUGUGGUCUCCACGUGCUGGAAGAGCAGCUUCAGAGGUCUGGCAACUUAGAGCUUACAGGAAGGAGCCAAGAGCUAGAAAGAACAGCUUCCUGACUCUUCAUUUUCCUGGGACAAAGACCGAAUAGAAAAUCCUGUUAUUAGAAAGGGAGCUUUCCAGGCAAAACACUGAAGCAACAGCCUCUCCUUCGCAUUGUUCUGUUUCCAGAAACUGGAGGAGUAUUCUGCACAGCCAGGGACCCAGGCUCAGUUAAUGUGUAAGCUGAAGACCACUCAAGACUGCAACUCAUUGGCAGCAACAAAAGCCACCAGUCAUACAGGAGGCUGCCACUUGCCGGGGCCUUUUGUAAGUGUCCUCUGUGUAUGAGUUAGGUGUUUGUACCCCCUGUUUUACAUUUUCGAAGCUGCCCAGGGAGGCAGAAGGUGGAGCUCACGGUUGUAUGUGCAGGCAUGGGCAGCCUGCCUCUCGCUACGGGGGGCUAUGCUUUCUUCCUCCCGACGGAUCAGAGUUUUUCAGAGCCAGUUACAGAGAAGUUCAGGAAAUGCUUCUCGUGUUUUGAAGCUUGCCACAUUAGAUGUGAACGUCUGCGGCACCACAAUCGCGUGUUGGUGCGAUUGUCACUCCAGACGCAGCAGCUCAGAUCAGCAGGGAGGUUUCGGCAGGGGAAACGUGGACUAUCACCGUGGGCGCUCUGCAGAUGCGGGUACAGUGAGCCCCUCGCGGUCCCCAUGCACCUGUCGCCAUCACCACCACCUCCACCAAGGGAGGACAAUCCAGGACCCAAGCAAAUCGUUAGCCCUUUGAUGUAUCAAGGAGGGAGGUGUGGGGAGAGGGGACCAGCCCAGGAUGUAGAAUCAGAAAGGCCAGGCCAUGAACCCCGGAGCCACCAAAUGCUUUGCCAGCUGGGUGACCUCAGCUAAGACGCUGGGAGUUUCAGGAUCCUGGCUGUAAAAUGGAAGUAAUAACCCAUCUUGGGGUUCGGUGUUAAGCGAGGAGACAGUGCUGGCCACCAGCAGGGCCACUCAUUAUGUCAUCUGCUGUGACGUGUAUAUCACGGGGCCUAGAACACCUCGUCCUCUCCCCUCCCCCCUCCCCCCUCUCACUUUGCCUUCACGCCGCUCUGAUCCCGAAAGAUGGUUUCGUUCUGGCCUUGGGCGUCUCCAGCGGAACAUCUCCAACCACUUUAAUUCCUUUCUCCAGCAGGUGACAUUCGAAGAUGCUUCCCAUUUACCCCAGGAGUUGGGAAACACUGUAAUAUUCUCCUCUAAUUAUCUGUGUCUCAGUGGGAAGCCUGACAUUAUAAUUAACUUGGGCUCCUGUCUGGGAUGACAUUUUGCACAGCAUAGUGUGUUCCUGGGUGAGCAGCACCGUAGCAGAAGCUGGUAACAUGCUCCCCGGCGACGCCGUUGGGUUUGAGCAGGAGAACUGGCACAGAGCCCCCAAGGGUGAAAUCGUAACUGGGAUUCCUGCAGCACCCCCCGCCACACCUCCCCAGUGCAACAGGGCAACUUUAAAAUUCACUACCAACUCCUGCCAUGGGUUACAGACACCCCUGCCUGUGCCCUACCGACUGGCCGGAACACGUGAGCUAUGUUCUGGAGCUGCAUGAGGAUUGGGGCGCCUGGGUGGCUCAGUCAGCUGAGGGUCCGACUCUUGGCUUCUGCUCUGGUCAUGGUCUUGCGGUUUCGGGAGUUCGAGCCCCGCAUCGGGAUUCUCUGUCUCCCUUUCUGUCUCUGCCCCUCCCCAACUUGGGCUGUCUCUGUCUCUCUCAAAAUAAAUAAACUUAAAAAAAAAUUUAAAGCUGCGUGAGGACUAGGGUUAAAAUGAAGACUCAUUUCCACAUCUGCUAGAUUAUGUCAUCCUCCCAUCUAUUACGUAAAUUAAAGGGAAAAAUUAAGGCAAGAGAAUCUGAACAUAUUUUUAUAUGAAGACUCAAUGUUUCCGGUAAAUUCCAAUUGUCUUUCUACUCUGGCCAGGCAGCUAUCAGCCACCUCACGGUUUUCCUAAGUCCUCCGAGACCUGCACUGUCCAGGACAGCAGCUAGUAGCUAUAGGGACAGACAAGUGUAGGUUCUGGAGUUAGAAAGCCUGAGAUCCCAGAGCCACCAAAUGCUGUCCUAUUUAUUUGUCAGAUUUAAACAAAAUGCAGAAUUUAAAUCCUCAGUCACACCUAGUCACAUGUCAAGUGCUGACUAGCCAUACACAGCCAGUGGCUACCAUAUUGGACAGCAAAGGUACUGAACAAUUCUGUCUUCACAGAAAGUUCUAUUGGAUGGCACUGCCCUGGACCCUUGGCAAAACAAUGUGAGCUCCACAGGUUAUCUAGAGCCUACCUCAGCUUGCCUUGGGCCGAGUUCUAUUUAGGGGAGACUUUUUGUUUCCCAAGACAGGUGUUCUUGGUUGUGGGGUCGGGCGUCAAACAUAUUUUACGAAUAAAAUGCCUUAUGUUUCAAAAUUUGAAAAUAAGUGGAUUUUGUUAAAAUAAGCUAAGGGGAGGACAGGGUCACCCCUGUGGUGCCAUCAUUCUUGUUCCCUUUGGUUCUGAUCUGGCUUCUGAUUUCUCAGAUGGGGUGGGGGGCAGCUUGUGCAGAGAAAUCACAGCAGGCUCGUCACCACGUCUAAUGUCAAGGAGAUGGAAAGAGCCACUCCAAGGAUGAUCUUGUCAUUCUCUGCUCCGGGUGACACACACCUGCCCCCCCGAGCAAGCCAGCAUACUGGUCUGUGCCAGCUUAGCCCUCUCACAGAACAGAUUCUCUUGCCUCAGCUCGGGUUUCGAAGGAAGGACAUUAACUGUCACGUGAAAAUCACCACAGCAUUUACUGUCACUUUUUUUUUUUUUUCUUUUUUUGCUGGGAACAUUGCCUAGUUCAUCCCCCAAUGCUCCCAAAUAAGGUAUUUAGUUUAGAAUGCACCGCCUGAGAAAGCUUUGCCUCGCUUGUGGAAACGGUAUUCAUAAUUUACUGUGUAUGCCUUUUCUUUUUUCCCUCGGCUGCUAAGAACACAGAGCCCCAUUGCCAUCAAGAUAAGAAGGAACUGCAUUCUGAUGGUCUCAUUAUUGGAUUUCUUCUCUUCUUGUACAAGCUACUACUGUAUUGUACUUUAAUCCAUUUCAAAAGGAGGGAGGUUACUCAUUAAUUGGCACAUGCGAUUUUAUUCCUUUGUCUCUGGUUUCCUUUGUUUCCUGGGCACAGAUUCGAUUUCUAAUCCAGAUACCUGAAAAAUACUUUUAUCUGGUUUGUGAUGGAGACUGGGGGCCAGGUGAGAGGUGGUGCCGUCAUCUGUUUAUAACGUUCAACCAAACAAUCGACUGAUACGUCCUGUGUGUGGAUGCUGCUAGAUCCCCCACGUCCAACAGGAAUACAAUGCACUCUGCGUCUCCAUUGUUAGCUUCCUAGUAGCCAUUUUUUAAAAAAAUGUAAAAAGCAAGUGAAACUAAUUUUUAAUUUUUUUUAGCGUUUACCUAUUUUUGAGAGUGAGAGACAGAGCAUGAGCGGGGGAGGGGCAGAGAGAGCGAGGGAGACACAGAAUCUCUAGAAGGUUCCAGGCUCUGAGCUGUCAGCACAGAGCCCGACAUGGGGCUUGAACUCACAAACCAUGAGAUCGUGACCUGAGCCGAAGUCGAACGCUCAACCAACUGAGCCACCCAGCCGCCCCGAGACUAAUUUUUAAUACAUAUUCUAUUUAACCCAAAUGGUCAAAAUCUUACUAUUUCAACAGACUCAAUGUAAAAAAUUGAGACAUUGUACAUUCUUUUUUUUUCCACACUAAGUCUUUGAAAUGCAGCGUGUAUUUUACACUCUGGGCACAACUCAGUUCGGAGGCUAAAUUUUUAAUGGUUCAAGUGAAAUGUAGUCCCCUCAAAACAAAGCUGUGUAGAGUGGAGAAAAAAAAUAUUAUAUACGUUUCUUCAGUUUUCAGAUGUAAACUUAAGUUAAUUAAAACACAAACAAAUCAUUCAUUUUCUCAGUCCCACCAGCCAAAUCCCAAGUGUUUGGCGGCCACACAUAGCUAGUAGCCGCCGUGUCCGAUGGCAUGGCUCCAGAUGCUCUGAGAGCUACCAAACAGGAUAAAAAACAGCCCUUGCCUCAAAAGAGCUUCCCGUCUGGCAGACAGGAUGACGUUUAUACACACACGUAUUAUGAUGCAGUGCAGAACGAAUCCAUUGUCACCGGAAGUCAAAGCAGUACGUGCAAGCCUUCGGAGCAACGGUGUCGUUUCUUUUGGCUCUGUGCGGUUUAAACAAUAAUAUUUACUGCUCGCAGACUUGACAUUGAAACCCAGGCCUUGUAGGACUGACUGGGUGCCAGUGAUCCCACCCACAGCAGAGAGGAUGGAGGAGGCCAGCGGGAAUGCCCUGGGCAGCGGCACAUGGGAAAGGUCAAGGCCACUGGCUCAAUACCAGGCUGCUCUCUUUCUUCCUGCUAGUUAAUGAGAUUAGUGUCUCGAGCCUCGGCACUGACCUACCUUUGCAUGCACCAGGCAGAUCGUCUUUUGUGUCAGAACUACAAUGUUGCUGCUGUGCUCGGCCCGGGCAGCUCCGCGCUGGGCCAAGGCUGUCAUGAGAAAUACCUGCAGACCCUUUCCUCCGCCUGGAGAAGCCAUCCCAAGGACAGGUUGUUCCUGCAUACUGGCCCGCUGCUUCCGUCCCAGAACUCAAAGACAUUAUCAUGUCCAGAGUCCCACGUGACCCAUGUUGGCUUCGCAAUGAUCUUUGCCCAGUGCUUGACUUGUCUUUGCUUCACUGUAAAAAGAAUUGUAGCUUCUCUCAAACUUUGAUUUAUAAAAAUACCUGAAGCCUUGGCGGCCAGAUUAAUCCUCCAAGGAACAUCUCAUCUGCUGAUGUGUCCCUGUCCCCUGUUGGGGUGGCCUCAACUCUUGAGAAGCUAUAGCAGAUAACAGGACUAAUCAGGUGAUAAUAUUUGAGGCACUAACUUUAUAAUAGUCCCAGCUCAUUCAUAUUCAUAUAUGCUAAUUUUAGCACACAUUAAUUAUGUGUUUAAUAAGUCCCCUGUUUAUUCUAUUUUGUCUCCAUUCCCUUGGUAGCUGUUAUGGUGUGGGGUUGAAAAUAAUUAAAAUGUUACUUGUGUUCUGCAAAUAACAAUUAACCAAGGAUGAAUUCUGAAAUCAAAAUCCCAUUCUCUUCCCCUCUCUCUGAUUAAAUACAGUGAGUGAAA
Molecule: long non-coding RNA, 6095 nt
Organism: Neofelis nebulosa (Clouded leopard)
Lineage: Eukaryota; Metazoa; Chordata; Mammalia; Carnivora; Felidae
Exons: 2
Source: RefSeq, a predicted model, not a curated record